CGCCAUACUUGGCGGGCGGCCUCUGUGUGCCAAAAUAGGCCACGGGCACAGCCGCGCACAAAAAUCAGCCCCCGAAGGUCGGGGUCCCAAGACCCCCCAGUGGAAAAAUGGCCAAAAAACGGGUGGGCUAUAGCCUUGGUGGGGGGCGUGGGCGAACUUCGUCCGCGGGACUCGGAAUGGCCCCUGACUUGGCGGGCGGCCUCCGUGUGCCAAAAAUAGGCCACGGGCACAGCCGCGCCCAAAAAUCAGCCCCCGAAGGUCGGGGUCCCAAGACCCCCCAGCGGAAAAAUGGCCAAAAAACGGGUGGGCUAUAGCCUUGGUGGGGGGCGUGGGCGAAGUUCGUCCGCGGGACUCGGAAUGGCACCAUACUAGGCGGGCGGCCUCAUUGUGCCAAAAAUAGGCCACGGGCACAGCCGCGCCCAAAAAUCAGCCCCCGAAGGUCGGGGUCCCAAGACCCCCCAGUGGAAAAAUGGCCAAAAAACGGGUGGGCUAUAGCCUUGGUGGGGGGCGUGGGCGAACUUCGUCCGCGGGACUCGGAAUGGCCCCUGACUUGGCGGGCGGCCUCCGUGUGCCAAAAAUAGGUCACGGGCACAGCCGCGCCCAAAAUCCAGCCCCCGAAGGUCGGGGUCCCAAGACCCCCCAGCGGAAAAAUGGCCAAAAAACGGGUGGGCUAUAGCCUUGGUGGGCGGCGUGGGCGAAGUUCGUCCGCGGGACUCGGAAUGGCACCAUACUUGGCGGGAGGCCUCUGUGUGCCAAAAAUAGGCCACGGGCACAGCCGCGCCCAAAAAUCAUCCCCCGAAGGUUGGGGUCCCAAGACCCCCCAGCGGAAAAAUGGCCAAAAAACGGGUGGGCUAUAGCCUUGGUGGGGGGCGUGGGCGAACUUCGUCCGCGGGACUGGGAAUGGCCCCUGACUUGGGGGGCGGCCUCCGUGUGCCAAAAAUAGGCCACGGGCACAGCCGCGCCCAAAAAUCAACCCCCGAAGGUCGGGGUCCCAAGACCCCCCAGCGGAAAGAUGGCCAAAAAACGGGUGGGCUAUAGCCUUGGUGGGGGGCGUGGGCGAACUUCGUCCGCGGGACUCGGAAUGGCCCCUGAAUUGGCGGGCGGCCUCCGUGUGCCAAAAAUAGGCCACGGGCACAGCCGCGCUCAAAAAUCAGCCCCCGAAAGGUCGGGGUCCCAAGACCCCCCAGCGGAAAAUGGCCAAAAAACGGGUGGGCUAUAGCCUUGCUGGGGGGCGUGGGCGAACUUCGUCCGCGGGACUCGGAAUGGCCCUUGAAUUGGCGGGCGGCCUCCGUGAGCCAAAAAUAGGCCACGGGCACAGCCGCGCCCAAAAUUCAACCCCCGAAGGUCGGGGUCCCAAAACCCCCCAUCGGAAAAAUGGCCAAAAAACGGGUGGGCUAUAGCCUUGGUGGGGGGNNNNNNNNNNNNNNNNNNNNNNNNNNNNNNNNNNNNNNNNNNNNNNNNNNNNNNNNNNNNNNNNNNNNNNNNNNNNNNNNNNNNNNNNNNNNNNNNNNNNNNNNNNNNNNNNNNGGGGUCCCAGACCCCCCAGCGGAAAAUGGCCAAAAAACGGGUGGGCUAUAGCCUUGGUGGGCGGCGUGGGCGAAGUUCGUCCGCGGGACUCGGAAUGGCACCAAACUUGGCGGGCGGCCUCUGGGUGCCAAAAAUAGGCCACGGGCACAGCCGCGUCCAAAAAUCAGCCCCCGAAGGUCGGGGUCCCAAGACCCCCCAGCGGAAAAAUGGCCAAAAAACGGGUGGGCUAUAGCCUUGGUGGGGGGCGUGAGCGAACUUCGUCCGCGGGACUCAGAAUGGCCCCUGACUUGGCGGGCGGCCUCCGUGUGCCAAAAAUAGGCCACGGGCACAGCCGCGCCCAAAAAUCAACCCCCGAAGGUCGGGGUCCCAAGACCCCCCAGCGGAAAAAUUGCCAAAAAACGGGUGGGCUAUAGCCUUGGUGGGGGGCGUGGGCGAACUUCGUCCGCGGGACUCGGAAUGGCCCCUGACUUGGCGGGCGGCCUCCGUGUGCCAAAAAUAGGCCACGGACACAGCCGCGCCCAAAAAUCAGCCCCCGAAGGUCGGGGUCCCAAGACCCCCCAGCGGAAAAAUGGCCAAAAAACGGGUGGGCUAUAGCCUUGGUGGGCGGCGUGGGCGAAGUUCGUCCGCGGGACUCGGAAUGGCACCAUACUUGGCGGGCGGCCUCUGUGUGCCAAAAAUAGGCCACGGGCACAGCCGCGCCCAAAAAUCAGCCCCCGGAGGUCGGGGUCCCAAGACCCCCCAGUGGAAAAAUAGCCAAAAAACGGGUGGGCUAUAGCCUUGGUGGGGGGCGUGGGCGAACUUCGUCCGCGGGACUCGGAAUGGUCCCUGACUUGGCGGGCGGCCUCCGUGUGCCAAAAAUAGGCCACGGACACAGCCGUGCCCAAAAAUCAGCCCCCGAAGGUCGGGGUCCCAAGACCCCCCAGCUGAAAAAUGGCCAAAAAACGGGUGGGCUAUAGCCUUGGUGGGCGGCGUGGGCGAAGUUCGUCCGCGGGACUCGGAAUGGCACCAGACUUGGCGGGCGGCCUCUGUGUGCCAAAAAUAGGCCACGGGCACAGCCGCGCCCAAAAAGCAGCCCCCGGAGGUCGGGGUCCCAAGACCCCCCAGCGGAAAAAUGGCCCAAAAACGGGUGGGCUAUAGCCUUGGUGGUGGGCGUGGCGAAGUUCGUCCGCGGGACUCGGAU
This 2707-nucleotide long non-coding RNA is filed under the name Citrus x clementina. Its description in RNAcentral is "Citrus clementina (C. clementina) long non-coding RNA (CCLE_LNC000680)". The record is from RNAcentral. Lineage: Eukaryota; Viridiplantae; Streptophyta; Magnoliopsida; Sapindales; Rutaceae.